RNAcentral lists this ribosomal RNA (253 nucleotides) under uncultured bacterium. Its description in RNAcentral is "partial 16S ribosomal RNA". It matches the Rfam family "Bacterial small subunit ribosomal RNA", at positions 524 to 776 of the family's 1533-position model. The record is from RNAcentral.
CACGUAGGGCGCGAGCGUUGUCCGGAAUUAUUGGGCGUAAAGAGCUCGUAGGCGGCCUGUUGCGUCCGCUGUGAAAGCCCGGGGCUUAACCCCGGGUCUGCAAUGGAUACGGGCAGGCUAGAGGUAGGUAGGGGAGAAUGGAAUUCCUGGUGUAGCGGUGAAAUGCGCAGAUAUCAGGAGGAACACCGGUGGCGAAGGCGGGUCUCUGGGCCGAUACUGACGCUGAGGAGCGAAAGCGUGGGGAGCAAACAGG